RNAcentral lists this transfer RNA (98 nucleotides) under Streptomyces coeruleorubidus. RNAcentral's name for it is "tRNA-Asp". Lineage: Bacteria; Bacillati; Actinomycetota; Actinomycetes; Kitasatosporales; Streptomycetaceae. The record is from RNAcentral.
CUCGUGGUCGGUGACGUCGGCGUGCCAGUGUUCACUGUCGCUGUGCAGCCGCGCGGACACCUCCUUGAGCGCGUCCGGUUCGAGCCCGACCAGCGCGA